This 266-nucleotide long non-coding RNA is filed under the name Elaeis guineensis (African oil palm). RNAcentral's name for it is "long non-coding RNA (EGUI_LNC036308)". Lineage: Eukaryota; Viridiplantae; Streptophyta; Magnoliopsida; Arecales; Arecaceae. The record is from RNAcentral.
UUCUGUAGGUACCAAUGCUUGUAGUUGGGUAUAAAUCCACUCUUAUACAAAUCAACAGUAAUUAUAUCUCUAUCCAAUAUUUCUCUAUUGUCACAUCUAUUACAUGGAUAACGAGCUUAUCCUUGAUGUAAGAGUGCUACAUUUUCAAAAGUAAAAUCACAGAAGUAUUCUACACCUCUCUAUAUUCAGCAGAAAUCAUCUUGUCGACUACUCGAUAGUCCAUCCAACUAUGAUCCUAUUAGAAAUUGUAUCCCAAAAUCAAUCAU